UACGGGAGGCAGCAGUAGGGAAUCUUCCACAAUGGACGAAAGUCUGAUGGAGCAACGCCGCGUGAGUGAAGAAGGGUUUCGGCUCGUAAAACUCUGUUGUUAAAGAAGAACAUAUCUGAGAGUAACUGUUCAGGUAUUGACGGUAUUUAACCAGAAAGCCACGGCUAACUACGUGCCAGCAGCCGCGGUAAUACGUAGGUGGCAAGCGUUGUCCGGAUUUAUUGGGCGUAAAGCGAGCGCAGGCGGUUUUUUAAGUCUGAUGUGAAAGCCUUCGGCUCAACCGAAGAAGUGCAUCGGAAACUGGGAAACUUGAGUGCAGAAGAGGACAGUGGAACUCCAUGUGUAGCGGUGAAAUGCGUAGAUAUAUGGAAGAACACCAGUGGCGAAGGCGGCUGUCUGGUCUGUAACUGACGCUGAGGCUCGAAAGUAUGGGUAGCAAACAGGAUUAGAUACCCUGGUAGUCCAUACCGUAAACGAUGAAUGCUAAGUGUUGGAGGGUUUCCGCCCUUCAGUGCUGCAGCUAACGCAUUAAGCAUUCCGCCUGGGGAGUACGGCCGCAAGGCUGAAACUCAAAGGAAUUGACGGGGGCCCGCACAAGCGGUGGAGCAUGUGGUUUAAUUCGAAGCUACGCGAAGAACCUUACCAGGUCUUGACAUACUAUGCAAAUCUAAGAGAUUAGACGUUCCCUUCGGGACAUGGAUACAGGUGGUGCAUGGUUGUCGUCAGCUCGUGUCGUGAGAUGUUGGGUUAAGUCCCGCAACGAGCGCAACCCUUAUUAUCAGUUGCCAGCAUUAAGUUGGGCACUCUGGUGAGACUGCCGGUGACAAACCGGAGGAAGGUGGGGAUGACGUCAAAUCAUCAUGCCCCUUAUGACCUGGGCUACACACGUGCUACAAUGGAUGGUACAACGAGUUGCGAACUCGCGAGAGUAAGCUAAUCUCUUAAAGCCAUUCUCAGUUCGGAUUGUAGGCUGCAACUCGCCUACAUGAAGUCGGAAUCGCUAGUAAUCGCGGAUCAGCAUGCCGCGGUGAAUACGUUCCCGGGCCUUGUACACACCGCCCGUCACACCAUGAGAGUUUGUAACACCC
This 1088-nucleotide ribosomal RNA is filed under the name Lactiplantibacillus plantarum subsp. plantarum. Its description in RNAcentral is "bacterial SSU rRNA". It matches the Rfam family "Bacterial small subunit ribosomal RNA", at positions 340 to 1422 of the family's 1533-position model. The record is from RNAcentral. Lineage: Bacteria; Bacillati; Bacillota; Bacilli; Lactobacillales; Lactobacillaceae.